GGGCAGAACACGAAGUGCUGCUGGAUGAAUACGACACAGUCCCUCUCAAAAACGAAACAUAUUUGCUUAGUAGAGACCUUAAUGAAUUAUUUCCAACCCACUUUAACUGAGGAGACAGGGUCCUACAGACAGGGUCCUACAGACAGGGUCCUACAGACAGGGGCCUACAGACAGGGGCCUACAGACAGGGGCCUACAGACAGGGUCCUACAGACAGGGUCCUACAGACAGGGGCCUACAGUCAGGGGCCUACAGUCAGGGCCUACAGAAGGGGCCUACAAACAGGGGCCUACAGACAGGGGCCUACAGACAGGGCCUACAAACAGGGGCCUACAGACAGGGCCUACAAACAGGGGCCUACAGACAGGGGCCUACAGACAGGGGCCUACAGACAGGUCCUACAAACAGGGGCCUACAGACAGGGGCCUACAAACAGGGGCCUACAGACAAGGGCCUACAGACAGGGGCCUACAGACAGGGGCCUACAGACAAGGUCCUACAGACAGGGCCUACAGACAGGUCCUGCAGCCCAAUAUUUCAACAUUGUAUUUUUCAAUAUUGGUCCUAAAAAGUUGUCUUUGAAGCAAUUUUUUUCCAUAAGUAACUUAUUGCAUUUUCUUAUUAGCACAAUAAAGGUGGCCAUUGAUUAAAAUGGAAUCUUUUGAAUCAGUUAUUGAUGUUGAAAUUCAGGCUUUUAUGUUGAAGUUUUUUUAAUAGAAAUGUUUUUUUUUUUUUUUGUGAAAUAAGGUGUCAAGAAUGUGUAUUUUAAUUGACCUGCCUGAUAAAGUUAAGGUAAAUAAACGCAUUAUAUGAGAGUGAUGUCAUUGUUUGUGCUGCUGGCAGAACAAAAGGUCAAACUGUGGUUUGUAAUGAUUCUGUGAACUCGUAGAUCAAAUAGCCAAAAGGGUGAUAGAACAUGAAUCAAUAGAUGCUCCACUGGGUCGAGCUGAGGCUCAAUGUAAGAUCAGAGACAUGUUGGUAGAUGUGUGGCAGAAGGGUUUGGAUUCAGAGACCAAGGGCCGGCAUUUAUAAUCCCUCCAAAGGAAGGUUGGAGGACCAAGAUUCCAAGGUCAGACUAGGAAAGAAGAGGUGGCUCCAAUACCAAAUCGUCCCUUAAGCCCUGCACCCCAUGUACUUGUGUAGAUCUGAGAGGAUUUGAUAACACUGAAGAGGGGAGAGACCGUUAAGAGACCAUUGUUAAUUGAAUUCAUCAUUCCAUUUGGUUGGCC
Long non-coding RNA from Oncorhynchus tshawytscha (Chinook salmon), 1228 nucleotides. The record is from Ensembl. NCBI's taxonomy places the organism in Eukaryota, Metazoa, Chordata, Actinopteri, Salmoniformes, Salmonidae.